AGUUAAUGAACUUGAAUAAGUAUAUAUUUUGAAAAUAUAAAAUAGAAUUAAAAUUCUAUUAACUU
RNAcentral lists this transfer RNA (65 nucleotides) under Hylaeus confusus. RNAcentral describes it as "tRNA-Ser". The record is from RNAcentral. Lineage: Eukaryota; Metazoa; Arthropoda; Insecta; Hymenoptera; Colletidae.